This 253-nucleotide ribosomal RNA is filed under the name uncultured bacterium. RNAcentral describes it as "partial 16S ribosomal RNA". It matches the Rfam family "Bacterial small subunit ribosomal RNA", at positions 524 to 776 of the family's 1533-position model. The record is from RNAcentral.
UACAGAGGUCUCAAGCGUUGUUCGGAAUCAUUGGGCGUAAAGGGUGCGUAGGCGGCGAGACAAGUCGAGUGUGAAAUUUCGAGGCUCAACCUCGAAACUGCAUACGAUACUGUCCUGCUCGAGUGCCAUAGAGGAGACUGGAAUUUACGGUGUAGCAGUGAAAUGCGUAGAUAUCGUAAGGAACACCAGUGGCGAAAGCGAGUCUCUGGAUGGCAACUGACGCUGAAGCACGAAGGCCAGGGGAGCAAACGGG